This 499-nucleotide long non-coding RNA is filed under the name Mus spicilegus (steppe mouse). RNAcentral's name for it is "lncRNA (ENSMSIG00000028590.1)". Lineage: Eukaryota; Metazoa; Chordata; Mammalia; Rodentia; Muridae. The record is from RNAcentral.
CCCAGCAAGACGGCUUUGUCCUCGCUCAACAGGAGUCCUUCUAGCUCUUUCUUUAGAAAUGCCCGAAGCUCUGUAAAGUGGCCUCCCUUAUUCCCAAUUGCUUUGCUCGGACCAAAAAAAUGGGAGACUGCAUCGUGCAGGCUGAAAUGGUUUGACCCUGAUCCUGAGUCUGCCUGGAUGGCAAGGUCAUGUUCCAGCACUUCACCCACUGUGAGAAACAAACCAGACUGCAGAGGGACUGUCCCUACUCCCGGAUGAUAACAGGUGACGAGCAGAACACUUCUGCAUCCAGUUGGAGAACGUUGUAGAAUGAGUUGAUAUGAAUGGGAAGAGCUAGAAAGAUCGUGAAGACUCGGGUUCCCACCAUAUUUACAUCUGUGAUGGUGGAGACGCUGUGUGAACAAUGGAAGCACUGGACCAAAGGGUGAGAAAGCAGGGGAGUGGGGCUGGGAGAUGACUUGGUGUGUGUAAUCAUUUUCCACAUAACCAUGAAGUCCUG